Molecule: non-coding RNA, 442 nt
Organism: Zonotrichia albicollis (white-throated sparrow)
Lineage: Eukaryota; Metazoa; Chordata; Aves; Passeriformes; Passerellidae
Source: RefSeq, a predicted model, not a curated record
AUGACACAGGAGACACAGGGAGGUGACAGAUGACACAGGUGACACACAGGUGACAAUGACACUCACUGAACAGGACAGCGAUCCCCAGCAAGCACAGGUGACAGUGACACACAGGUGACACACAGGUGACAAUGACAAUGACACACAGGUGACAAUGACAGUGACAGUGUCACUCACUGAAGAGCACGGCGAUCCCCAGCACACACAGGUGACAGUGACAAUGACACGCAGGUGUCACUCACUGAAGAGCACGGCGAUCCCCAGCACACACAGGUGACAAUGACAGUGACACACAGGUGACAGUGACACAGGUGACACACAGGUGACAGUGACAAUGACACGCAGGUGUCACUCACUGAAGAGCACGGCGAUCCCCAGCACACACAGGUGACAGUGACAGUGACACACAGGUGACAGUGACACAGGUGACACACAGGUGACA